RNAcentral lists this unclassified non-coding RNA (317 nucleotides) under Pseudorhodobacter antarcticus. Its description in RNAcentral is "Long range pseudoknot". The record is from RNAcentral. Lineage: Bacteria; Pseudomonadati; Pseudomonadota; Alphaproteobacteria; Rhodobacterales; Paracoccaceae.
AUUCACGAUUACGAUGUGAAAAUGCGGUCGGUGCUGAAAUUCCUUGGCGAAGGUGACAAGGUCAAAGUGACGCUGCGCUUUCGCGGUCGUGAAAUGGCGCACCAACAGCUGGGCUUGGAGUUGCUGAACCGCGUCGCGGAUGAUGUGAUCGCAGCCGAAGCUGGCAAGGUGGAAAGUUUCCCCCGGCUGGAAGGCCGCCAGAUGGUGAUGAUGAUCGGGGCAAGAUAACCCCCGCGCAUCGGUGAACAGGGGUCGCUAUUGCGGCCCCUUUUUUUAUGCUGGCCCCUUUUUUAUGUUAGGCCGCUAUUUAUGCCAAA